Oryzias melastigma (Indian medaka) is the source of this 2007-nucleotide long non-coding RNA. RefSeq lists it as uncharacterized. The transcript is spliced from 2 exons. Lineage: Eukaryota; Metazoa; Chordata; Actinopteri; Beloniformes; Adrianichthyidae. The record is from RefSeq and is a predicted model, not a curated record.
CGACCGAAUGAGAAAUGUUUGUAGAUAAAUUCAUCCUUUUUAUUAUACGUUUGGGGUCACAUUGAGGAAUCCUCUGGUGGGUCACACGAUUGUGGGCAGAGACAUUUGUGAUUUUAACUCACCUGUUGAUUUCCACCUGGGUGGGCAGGUGGGCAGGUGGCCGCAUUUUGGUUGACAUUUUUUCCACCCUUGAGCUUCUUUUUGAAGCCACAGAUUCUCCAAACAGACUCGUGAUGAGAAAACACCUGUGUCUGAAGAAGAUCCCGUUAUAGCGGUUCUAUUGUGGUCACGUGACCACCUGCUUUAGCAGCUUUAGUUCUAAUUCAUCAUUUCAGUGAUUUUCUGACUUUUAUUCACAUUUGAAACAAACUUGAAAUCAGUACUGGGAAACCACGCCCCCUUCUGUAGUGAUUGGCCUGAUGCUGCUGCUCUGCUGUCACAGCGUGUUGCCAUGACAACUGCGGCACGAGGACAUUUGGCCACAGAGCGGUUGCUAUGGGAAACCAGCGAAGCGGCGACGAGCAGACUCGGCUUUGAGUCCUGGAGGUGUUUCGCUUCUCUGACGAGCACGUGACUCAAAAACGGCGGUAAAUAAGCGUGCUUGAGAUGACGGACCCCGCGCUGCGCAGAUCGCCUGGAGCGCGGUGCAUGCUGGUGUUGGUGUUCUGAGCGCCGUGGUCUGGACGUCCAGAACCGGGCCGUGAUGAGCCUCUGACACCCACCUCCUCCUCCACGGCGAACAGCUUGACGAUGUUCUUGUGGUUGAGCUUCUUCAGGACCUCGAACUCCCUCAUCUGGACGUCCAGCGGCCGCAGGAAGCUCAGGUUGUUGAAGACCUUGACGGCGUACAGGUCUCCGGUUUUCUGCAGGAACGAGCUCCAAUCAGCAUCCAGCCCUACAUGGCGGCAGCAGGCCCCGCCCCCCUCAGCUCCUACCUUGUGCCUCCCCCGGUAGACGUUGGCGGUGGCCCCCUGACCCAGCAGGUCAGAGAUCAGCCACAGGUAGUUGGUGGUGCUCUGCAUCCUGAUUGGUGACGUCAGAGUCCGCAGCCGCUCUUCAGCGCAGAGGCCCCGCCCAGUUCACUUCCUGGACACAAACAAAACACAAACAAUCAACACGAUGACAUUUGUUUGCUUUUCCAAGUCGCUGCGCAGUGACGUCACGAUGGGAAAUCCCCGCCGAGGCCUGAACUACAGAAAGGUUCCGCGCACGCGCAGCUGCGGCAGGAGUCCGGUAUCGGUCCGGUCCACUAAAACUCAACCCAGGGCGAUUCAACUACGGCCUGAACCGGGUCCUCUGAGACUAUGUUCGGUUUAAAACUCGGGUUCGGCUUUCACUUACAGGCCUGAAUCUCGCGACGCCACGGGUCGGAACCGAAACUCGUCGGUGAAAGCUUCGCCGUCCGGACGAACGAACUCAAACGGGGUUCCGUCGGGGAGAAUACUGAGAUACCGAACCGAACAGUCGCGAAGGCGGUUCCGAGAAACAAACUACAUUUUUUUGUUUGUUUGUUUCCUCACCGUUUUAUUUUCCUGACGCUCGAGCUCCCUCCUUCCGGUCUGCUGGUCAUGUGACCCCGGAGGACGAAUCACUGCGGGUGCGAACAAGGGGGCGUGGCUAAGCCGCUGUUUGUUAGUCAUAGAGGCGUUUGAAGAGAAAAAAUGUUGUUUUAAUUUAUUUUUAUACAUUUUAAUGGUUUAAUUUAAACAUUUAAACAACGGUUAGUUUGUGGUUUUAUUUAAAUCCGCAUUUUAGCGCCAACAGACUUAUUUUAAUUACCAACAAACUGCUGUAAACACUUCAGAUGUGAGCGGGUUUCUAUUUUGUUUUUGUUUUUCCCGCUAGUGCAGUCUAUUUAUGUUUCUGAAUAUAUAUCUGCAUAUUUUUGUGUUCAAACCAUUUUCAAACUCAAAUGUAACUUUAACCACAUCAGUCCAACUUUCGUGUUGGACUGAUGGUAUUUUGCAAAAGACAAACAUCUUAAAUUAUUAAAUGAGGUCAAGUGUA